This is a long non-coding RNA of Salvelinus fontinalis (brook trout), 152 nucleotides long. RefSeq lists it as uncharacterized. Lineage: Eukaryota; Metazoa; Chordata; Actinopteri; Salmoniformes; Salmonidae. The record is from RefSeq and is a predicted model, not a curated record. The transcript is spliced from 3 exons.
ACUGGUCUGUGAGAGGUCUAUAUAAUGUGUUGUAAAGGACUGGCCUGUGAGAGGUCUAUAUAAUGUGUUGUGAAGGACUGGCCUGUGAGAGGUCUAUAUAAUGUGUUGUGAAGGACUGGUCUGUGAGAGGUCUAUAUAAUGUGUUGUGAAGG